CAAGGCGACGAUGCGUAGCCGACCUGAGAGGGUGAUCGCCCACACUGAGACUGAGACACGGCCCAGACUCCUACGAGAGGCAGCAGUAGGGAAUCUUCCGCAAUGGACGAAAGUCUGACGGAGCAACGCCGCGUGAGUGAGGAAGGCCUUCGGGUCGUAAAGCUCUGUUGUGAGGGAAGAACAAGUACCGGGGUAACUACCGGUACCUUGACGGUACCUCACCAGAAAGCCACGGCUAACUACGUGCCAGCAGCCGCGGUAAUACGUAGGUGGCAAGCGUUGUCCGGAAUUAUUGGGCGUAAAGCGCGCGCAGGCGGCUUCUUAAGUCUGAUGUGAAAUCUCGGGGCUCAACCCCGAGCGGCCAUUGGAAACUGGGAAGCUUGAGUGCAGAAGAGGAGAGUGGAAUUCCACGUGUAGCGGUGAAAUGCGUAGAUAUGUGGAGGAACACCAGUGGCGAAGGCGACUCUCUGGUCUGUAACUGACGCUGAGGCGCGAAAGCGUGGGGAGCAAACAGGAUUAGAUACCCUGGUAGUCCACGCCGUAAACGAUGAGUGCUAGGUGUUAGGGGUUUCGAUGCCCGUAGUGCCGAAGUAAACACAUAAGC
RNAcentral lists this ribosomal RNA (604 nucleotides) under Shouchella oshimensis. RNAcentral describes it as "bacterial SSU rRNA". It matches the Rfam family "Bacterial small subunit ribosomal RNA", at positions 269 to 865 of the family's 1533-position model. Lineage: Bacteria; Bacillati; Bacillota; Bacilli; Caryophanales; Bacillaceae. The record is from RNAcentral.